UUUUGCCAGGUAAAAUUCAUUGAGGACAAUCCCUUCACAAUCUAGAACUGGAAGAUUGGAUUUUCUGAAAACAUCGGAGAAAGACUGUCCUUGCCAUCCACACUACAGCAAAUCUUUGGAGACUUGAACUUUGGGUUCAUAAUCUCACAACUGAGAAGGGUCCCACCACACUCCUGGAACUGUGCACCCAUUGGAAACCUUAAGUUACAUAAUGCAUCUGGGAGUAUGAAUACAGCUAGGUUUGACAUGGGCAUGGACAAUGCCUUGCAACGGAAGAAAUUCAACAUAUGAAACAGAAGUAAAGCAGAGCUUCUCUGGCUGAAGGAGGAGGAUUAAAGGUAUCAAGAGGAAGGGUUGAGGGCCACCUGCCAGCCCCUACUCAUUGGUCCUUAGUGGCUCAGGGCUCUGUACUCAUUGCUCUUCAUCCCACUGCUGUGUGCUAUUGUCUUUGUGAUCUUCAUGAUUGGAUUUUGCUUCUUCAAGGAAGAUAUAAAAGAGCCCAAGUAAUUCUGGAAACCAGCAUUUUACCCUUGACCUCCUGCUUUUCAUCCUACUGGUCCUCGCCAGAAGUCGCUGGUUGCCUGGUAUAAGAAAACAAUCAUAAUUAUCUCAUUAAUACUUGGACCUGGCCUCCCUGCUAAUCAGGUUUGUACUGCUGAGAUUUCAAAGGAGAACAGAAAUCUACUAAGAAGAAAUAAAUUGGUUCUCAGGCUAUAAAUAGUUCUAGGAAGCUGCCCAGGGACAAAAAUUUGCCUGCUGGUGAAAUAAAAGACCAUGUAAACUGUAGAUUUAUUUGGAGAGUAUAGUUCCAUGAAUUUAACUGGUCUAGACUCUGGGCCUCUGGAAGGCAGAGACCAUGCUCUCAGCCUUGCCUUUAGUACCUUGUCUGUAACAGGCUAUCAGAUAUGUUGAUUGUGUCAAAGAUAAGCAAAUUCUGAAAUGAGUAAUUUUUUUCAUUCUCUAUCCUCUCUGAAUUCACUUAGUGCCUCUCAGAAUGUGUCUGAGUGGAAAGGGAUUUGCACAGGAUAUGUCCAAACAGGUUAUUGUAACUUUGGAGGUAAACUCUUGUCUAUCAUUCCAUGCACUUCAUUAUUAUUUAUAUCCAUUUCUUUCUUUCUUUCUUUGUUUAUUUAUUUAAGUAAUUGGUCAUGAAAUAGACUUGCAUGCUGAAUACUGAAAUGUGGUGUUUGACACUUGUAAAUUAUUCCAGAUUAUAUAUGAGACUAUAAUAGAUAAAAGUGAUUUAGAUAAUAAAGUGAUCUGUAAUUGAAGUAAAUGAGAGCUGGGUGCUGUGGCUAAUGCCUUGUACUCCCAGCACUUUGGAAGGCUGAGGCAGUAGGAUCGCUUGG
Molecule: long non-coding RNA, 1349 nt
Filed under: Homo sapiens (human)
Lineage: Eukaryota; Metazoa; Chordata; Mammalia; Primates; Hominidae
Description: HSALNT0326189
Source: RNAcentral